RNAcentral lists this ribosomal RNA (460 nucleotides) under uncultured bacterium. RNAcentral describes it as "partial 16S ribosomal RNA". It matches the Rfam family "Bacterial small subunit ribosomal RNA", at positions 338 to 795 of the family's 1533-position model. The record is from RNAcentral.
CCUACGGGGGGCAGCAGUGAGGAAUAUUGGUCAAUGGGCGCGAGCCUGAACCAGCCACGUAGCGUGAAGGAUGACUGCCCUACGGGUUGUAAACUUCUUUUAUAAAGGAAUAAAGUGAGGCACGGGUGCCUUUUUGUAUGUAUUUUAUGAAUAAGGAUCGGCUAACUCCGUGCCAGCAGCCUCGGUAAUACGGAGGAUCCGAGCGUUAGCCGAAGUUAUUGGGUUUAAAGGGAGCGUAGAUGGGUUGUUAAGUCAGUUGUGAAAGUUUGCGGCUCAACCGUAAAAGUGAAAUUGAUACUGGCAGCCUUGAGUACAGUUGAGGUAGGCGGAAUUCGUGGUGUAGCGGUGAAAUGCUUAGAUAUCACGAAGAACUCCGAUUGCGAAGGCAGCCUACUAAACUGCCACUGACAUUGAUGCUCGAAAGUGUGGGUAUCAAACAGGAUUAGAUACCCUAGUAGUC